This 544-nucleotide long non-coding RNA is filed under the name Helianthus annuus (common sunflower). Its description in RNAcentral is "hypothetical non coding rna". The record is from RNAcentral. Lineage: Eukaryota; Viridiplantae; Streptophyta; Magnoliopsida; Asterales; Asteraceae.
GUUAAUGUCGGUAGGCUAUUGAGUCACUUUUGAGGAUACAAUUAUCGAACGCUUGUUCAUUCUUGUGCAUUUGAAGCUUUGGGCUCUUGUUUUAUCUAUGCAGAGAAUGAGCUCUUUUAAGUUUAUGGGAACUUUGGAUCAUUCUUUUUGUCAUAGGUUGGCUGAUAUCUGUCACAAUAGAGGACUAUUUGGCAGGGUUGUUUACGGUCCAGUUUAGUUGGUUAUGACUUGUGAGAGGAAUUCUGGGUCAAACUGUCAACUAUAGCUUCAAAAAAUAGCAAAUCAAAACAGCUGGGUUGGUUGAAUUGGAUAGACCAGGCGAAUCGAGUUCUGUUUGAUGGUUUGAAAUGAACUUAAUUAUAAAUUGUUGGUUUGUAUCGAAUUUUUUGAAAUGAUAUACAUGGUUUACAAGUUAAAUGGGGUAAGGUUCAUGCGAGAACCACCUUUAUUGCGAGAAUCGCGAGAACCAAUGUGAACACAACCUAAAAUAGCUAAAAAAAACCUAACCCACACCCCGCCCCCCCCCAAAAAAAAAAAAAAAAAA